CCUACGGGUGGCAGCAGUGAGGAAUAUUGGUCAAUGGCCGCAAGUCUGAACCAGCCAAGCCGCGUGCAGGAAGACGGCUCUAUGAGUUGUAAACUGCUUUUGUACGAGGAUAAACGCAGAUACGCGUAUCUGUUUGAAAGUAUCUUACGAAUAAGCAUCGGCUAACUCCGUGCCAGCAGCCGCGGUAAUACGGAGGAUGCAAGCGUUAUCCGGAUUUAUUGGGUUUAAAGGGUGCGUAGGUGGUUGGAUAAGUUAGCGGUGAAAUCUUGUGGCUCAACUACGGAAUUGCCGUUGAGACUGGUUGGCUAGAGUGUAGUUGAGGUAGGCGGAAUGCAUGGUGUAGCGGUGAAAUGCAUAGAGAUCACACAGAACACCGAUUGCGAAGGCAGCUUACCAAGCUAUUUCUGACGUUGAGGCACGAAAGCGUGGGGAGCAAACAGGAUUAGAUACCCGAGUAGUC
This 460-nucleotide ribosomal RNA is filed under the name uncultured bacterium. Its description in RNAcentral is "partial 16S ribosomal RNA". It matches the Rfam family "Bacterial small subunit ribosomal RNA", at positions 338 to 795 of the family's 1533-position model. The record is from RNAcentral.